Molecule: non-coding RNA, 551 nt
Organism: Pelobates cultripes (western spadefoot toad)
Lineage: Eukaryota; Metazoa; Chordata; Amphibia; Anura; Pelobatidae
Source: the annotation of a GenBank genome assembly
AUCAUAACAUUUUCUGGUAGUUUGACCAAAUUCAGAGGUCCCUGAGGUUCUUGGCUGGGCCCAAGCUGGCAGGAUGCUAAUACAUAAGUUCCACUUGCAUAUUUGCCAAAUCAAGUUUGUCCAUUUUUAGAGAUUAUGAAUAGACUAAGCAUGUCCGCUGUUAGGUUAAGUCUAUAAUGACCUUCAUAAUAUGGAUUCCUGGUUUUUGGUCAAACUGCUCAAACAGUUUGAUCCAGAAAUAGGGGAGGCACCUACAGCCUUCAAGUACAAUAACCACUAAUCCGUGUGUGUUUUUUAUGGUGUUAAUAAAGUAUAAAUCCCUUAAGAACAUGAUCUUGCAGUUUCAGCUAUUAACCAUGGGGUGUCAGCAAAGAAUUGAUGCUUUAAGAAAAGCAAUUAGUAUAUGUCAUAAAAAGCACAGUUAAAGUGACUCUUUCAUACAAAAUAGUGAUACAUUGUGCUGGCUAUACAGCCCAUACAUUAAGAUACAGAAUUUCAGAAUUUAAAAGCACACUUCUGUUUGUUGGUGCCAGUUUGCUGAAAUAUUAGCG